AAAUGGCAUCCCUAGUACGGCGAGUGAACCGGGAAGAGCUCAAAUUUGAAAUCUGGCGUCCUCAGGGCGUCCGAGUUGUAAUCUAUAGAGGCGUUUUCCGUGCCGGACCGKGUCCAAGUUCCUUGGAACAGGAUAUCAAAGAGGGUGACAAUCCCGUACUUGACACGACSACCGGUGCUCUGUGAUACGUCUUCUACGAGUCGAGUUGUUUGGGAAUGCAGCUCAAAAUGGGUGGUGAGUUCCAUCUAAAGCUAAAUAUUGGCGAGAGACCGAUAGCGAACAAGUACCGUGAGGGAAAGAUGAAAAGCACUUUGGAAAGAGAGUUAAACAGUACGUGAAAUUGUUGAAAGGGAAACGAUUGAAGUCAGUCGUGACCGAGAGGCUCAGCCGGUUCUGCCGGUGUAUUCCCCUCGGUCGGGUCAACAUCAGUUUUGUCCGGUGGAUAAGGGCGGUAGGAAGGUGGCACCCUCGGGUGUGUUAUAGCCUGCCGUCGCAUACAUCGGGUGAGACUGAGGAACGCAGCUCGCCUUUAUGGCCGGGGUUCGCCCACGUCCGAGCUUAGGAUGUUGACAUAAUGGCUUUAAACGACCCGUCUUGAAACACGGGACCCAAAA
This 614-nucleotide ribosomal RNA is filed under the name Papiliotrema laurentii. RNAcentral's name for it is "partial large subunit ribosomal RNA". It matches the Rfam family "Eukaryotic large subunit ribosomal RNA", at positions 68 to 664 of the family's 3401-position model. The record is from RNAcentral. Lineage: Eukaryota; Fungi; Basidiomycota; Tremellomycetes; Tremellales; Rhynchogastremaceae.